CUGUCCUGCAUACUACACUUCAGCUCCACUGACUCAGAGGUGAAGACGGCAGACCAUGGUGUCUGGAGAGCCACCGAUGGAACGGGAAUCUCUGCACACAAGCCAACAUAAGUACAAAUGUCCAACAUACAACGGCCCAAAACAUGGUUCCUUCUUUAAGGUAGGGCUGGGUCUGUCGUCCAAAUGGGACAAUAUAACAAAGGCCUUGGGAAACUGCUAGGCAGCAGAAGGGAGUUGAAUUCCAACUCUGUACCAACGAUAUUCCCCAUUUAGAGGAAACAUUCACCUGGCAGCUAAGGGACACAGACCACAACAUACUCAAAACAUGAAUCAUUCAUAAGGUAAGCCUUGGUCUGGUGCCCGAAAUUGGACAGUUUAAUACAUUUUAAUCAAUUAAAUGCGUUCAAUUGAAUCAAUUCAAUUACAUUUUAAUAGAUUAAAUGCAAAUAUAAUAAAUGUCAUAUAAUCUGAUUUGAUUUAAAUUAAAUUAAAUAAAUGAUAUUUUUAACAUAGAUGCAUAUAUAUCGCGGUUACUACACUUUUCAUUAGUAGUCAUAAAUAUAAUUGAGAUAUAUUGUUUUUUUUUGUGGUAUGUCACUUUUAUAAUUAUUUCAAAAGUCCUGUAAAUGUUGCAGCUGUGUCACCUUACCACUAUGAUUAGAUUCUGUAAUCAUAAUGCACAUUAGCAAUAACUCACCUUUGACCUCUAAGGACUGUGGUUUGCUGGGUUCAGACUUAACAGGUCUGCCCUUGAGUUGUCCAGUACAGGUGUACUGUCCCGCAUGCUCUGGUCUAACCUGGCUAAUCAUGAGAUCAGAUCCUUCGGACCCAAAGGAGACACCUGCCCCCUGCACCACCUCUUGCCCUCCUCUGUACCAGGUAUAGGUCCAGAGGUCUGGGCUGUCCUGCAUACUACACUUCAGCUCCACUGACUCAGAGGUGAAGACGGCAGACCAUGGUGUCUGGAGAGCCACCGAUGGAACGGGAAUCUCUGCACACAAGCCAACAUAAGUAUAAAUGUCCAACAUACAACGGCCCAAAACAUGGUUCCUUCUUUAAGGUAGGGCUGGGUCUGUCGUCCAAAUGGGACAAUAUAACAAAGGCCUUGGGAAACUGCUAGGCAGCAGAAGGGAGUUGAAUUCCAACUCUGUACCAACGAUAUUCCCCAUUUAGAGGAAACAUUCACCUGGCAGCUAAGGGACACAGACCACAACAUACUCAAAACAUGAAUCAUUCAUAAGGUAAGCCUUGGUCUGGUGCCCGAAAUUGGACAGUUUAAUACAUUUUAAUCAAUUAAAUGCGUUCAAUUGAAUCAAUUCAAUUACAU
Gadus chalcogrammus (walleye pollock) is the source of this 1327-nucleotide long non-coding RNA. RefSeq lists it as uncharacterized. The transcript has 3 exons. NCBI's taxonomy places the organism in Eukaryota, Metazoa, Chordata, Actinopteri, Gadiformes, Gadidae. The record is from RefSeq and is a predicted model, not a curated record.